Molecule: RNA transcript, 4858 nt
Organism: Pan troglodytes (chimpanzee)
Lineage: Eukaryota; Metazoa; Chordata; Mammalia; Primates; Hominidae
Gene: ABCB1
Gene name: ATP binding cassette subfamily B member 1
Exons: 30
Source: RefSeq, a predicted model, not a curated record
UGGUGAAAUGGCUGCAUGAGAGCGGAGGACAAGAAGGUGCAGAUUGUGGCAGUCACUUCAAAUGGAAAUAUCACCGCUUGAAUGAAGAGAGGUGCAACGGAAGCCAGAACAUUCCUCCUGGAAAUUCAACCUGUUUCGCAAUUUCUCGAGGAAUCAGCAUUCAGUCAAUCCGGGCCGGGAGCAGUCAUCUGUGGUGAGGCUGAUUGGCUGGGCAGGAACAGCGCCGGGGCGUGGGCUGAGCACAGCCGCUUCGCUCUCUUUGCCACAGGAAGCCUGAGCUCAUUCGAGCAGCGGCUCUUCCAAGCUCAAAGAAGCAGAGGCCGCUGUUCGUUUCCUUUAGGUCUUUCCACUAAAGUCGGAGUAUCUUCUUCCAAAAUUUCACGUCUUGGUGGCCGUUCCAAGGAGCGCGAGGUCGGGAUGGAUCUUGAAGGGGACCGCAAUGGAGGAGCAAAGAAGAAGAACUUUUUUAAACUGAACAAUAAAAGUGAAAAAGAUAAGAAGGAAAAGAAACCAACUGUCAGUGUAUUUUCAAUGUUUCGCUAUUCAAAUUGGCUUGACAAGUUGUAUAUGGUGGUGGGAACUUUGGCUGCCAUCAUCCAUGGGGCUGGACUUCCUCUCAUGAUGCUGGUGUUUGGAGAAAUGACAGAUAUCUUUGCAAAUGCAGGAAAUUUAGAAGAUCUGAUGUCAAACAUCACUAAUAGAAGUGAUAUCAAUGAUACAGGGUUCUUCAUGAAUCUGGAGGAAGACAUGACCAGGUAUGCCUAUUAUUACAGUGGAAUUGGUGCUGGGGUGCUGGUUGCUGCUUACAUUCAGGUUUCAUUUUGGUGCCUGGCAGCUGGAAGACAAAUACACAAAAUUAGAAAACAGUUUUUUCAUGCUAUAAUGCGACAGGAGAUAGGCUGGUUUGAUGUGCACGAUGUUGGGGAGCUUAACACCCGACUUACAGAUGAUGUCUCCAAGAUUAAUGAAGGAAUUGGUGACAAAAUUGGAAUGUUCUUUCAGUCAAUGGCAACAUUUUUCACUGGGUUUAUAGUAGGAUUUACACGUGGUUGGAAGCUAACCCUUGUGAUUUUGGCCAUCAGUCCUGUUCUUGGACUGUCAGCUGCUGUCUGGGCAAAGAUACUGUCUUCAUUUACUGAUAAAGAACUCUUAGCUUAUGCAAAAGCUGGAGCAGUAGCUGAAGAGGUCUUGGCAGCAAUUAGAACUGUGAUUGCAUUUGGAGGACAAAAGAAAGAACUUGAAAGGUACAACAAAAAUUUAGAAGAAGCUAAAAGAAUUGGGAUAAAGAAAGCUAUUACAGCCAAUAUUUCUAUAGGUGCUGCUUUCCUGCUGAUCUAUGCAUCUUAUGCUCUGGCCUUCUGGUAUGGGACCACCUUGGUCCUGUCAGGGGAAUAUUCUAUUGGACAAGUACUCACUGUAUUCUUUUCUGUAUUAAUUGGGGCUUUUAGUGUUGGACAGGCAUCUCCAAGCAUUGAAGCAUUUGCAAAUGCAAGAGGAGCAGCUUAUGAAAUCUUCAAGAUAAUUGAUAAUAAGCCAAGUAUUGACAGCUAUUCGAAGAGUGGGCACAAACCAGAUAAUAUUAAGGGAAAUUUGGAAUUCAGAAAUGUUCACUUCAGUUACCCAUCUCGAAAACAAGUUAAGAUCUUGAAGGGCCUGAACCUGAAGGUGCAGAGUGGGCAGACGGUGGCCCUGGUUGGAAACAGUGGCUGUGGGAAGAGCACAACAGUCCAGCUGAUGCAGAGGCUCUAUGACCCCACAGAGGGGAUGGUCAGUGUUGAUGGACAGGAUAUUAGGACCAUAAACGUAAGGUUUCUACGGGAAAUCAUUGGUGUGGUGAGUCAGGAACCUGUAUUGUUUGCCACCACGAUAGCUGAAAACAUUCGCUAUGGCCGUGAAAAUGUCACCAUGGAUGAGAUUGAGAAAGCUGUCAAGGAAGCCAAUGCCUAUGACUUUAUCAUGAAACUGCCUCAUAAAUUUGACACCCUGGUUGGAGAGAGAGGGGCCCAGUUGAGUGGUGGGCAGAAGCAGAGGAUCGCCAUUGCACGUGCCCUGGUUCGCAACCCCAAGAUCCUCCUGCUGGAUGAGGCCACGUCAGCCUUGGACACAGAAAGCGAAGCAGUGGUUCAGGUGGCUCUGGAUAAGGCCAGAAAAGGUCGGACCACCAUUGUGAUAGCUCAUCGUUUGUCUACAGUUCGUAAUGCUGACGUCAUCGCUGGUUUCGAUGAUGGAGUCAUUGUGGAGAAAGGAAAUCAUGAUGAACUCAUGAAAGAGAAAGGCAUUUACUUCAAACUUGUCACAAUGCAGACAGCAGGAAAUGAAGUUGAAUUAGAAAAUGCAGCUGAUGAAUCCAAAAGUGAAAUUGAUGCCUUGGAAAUGUCUUCAAAUGAUUCAAGAUCCAGUCUAAUAAGAAAAAGAUCAACUCGUAGGAGUGUCCGUGGAUCACAAGCCCAAGACAGAAAGCUUAGUACCAAAGAGGCUCUGGAUGAAAGUAUACCUCCAGUUUCCUUUUGGAGGAUUAUGAAGCUAAAUUUAACUGAAUGGCCUUAUUUUGUUGUUGGUGUAUUUUGUGCCAUUAUAAAUGGAGGCCUGCAACCAGCAUUUGCAAUAAUAUUUUCAAAGAUUAUAGGGGUUUUUACAAGAAUUGAUGAUCCUGAAACAAAACGACAGAAUAGUAACUUGUUUUCACUAUUGUUUCUAGUCCUUGGAAUUAUUUCUUUUAUUACAUUUUUCCUUCAGGGUUUCACAUUUGGCAAAGCUGGAGAGAUCCUCACCAAGCGGCUCCGAUACAUGGUUUUCCGAUCCAUGCUCAGACAGGAUGUGAGUUGGUUUGAUGACCCUAAAAACACCACUGGAGCAUUGACUACGAGGCUCGCCAAUGAUGCUGCUCAAGUUAAAGGGGCUAUAGGUUCCAGGCUUGCUGUAAUUACCCAGAAUAUAGCAAAUCUUGGGACAGGAAUAAUUAUAUCCUUCAUCUAUGGUUGGCAACUAACACUGUUACUCUUAGCAAUUGUACCCAUCAUUGCAAUAGCAGGAGUUGUUGAAAUGAAAAUGUUGUCUGGACAAGCACUGAAAGAUAAGAAAGAACUAGAAGGUGCUGGGAAGAUCGCUUCUGAAGCAAUAGAAAACUUCCGAACCGUUGUUUCUUUGACUCAGGAGCAGAAGUUUGAACAUAUGUAUGCUCAGAGUUUGCAGGUACCAUACAGUGCAGACCUUCUUCCUUUAACACAGUCAUCCCAGUGAAGGCUCUAAUAAGUGGUGUGAACAUAAGCAAGCCCAAGCUUUCUGAGUCUGUUUCUUAUAAUAAAAGGAGAGAGCUGGACCUUAUUGAUGGAUUUUUAAGCUUUUAUUUUAAAAAAAUGAUGGCAGAGCCUUUUUGUCUAAAAAAAAAUUAUUUGAAAUCUUCAUAUGUGAUGAAGAAACUCUUUGAGGAAAGCACACAUCUUUGGAAUUACAUUUUCCUUCACCCAGGCAAUGAUGUAUUUUUCCUAUGCUGGAUGUUUCCGGUUUGGAGCCUACUUGGUGGCACAUAAACUCAUGAGCUUUGAGGAUGUUCUGUUAGUAUUUUCAGCUGUUGUCUUUGGUGCCAUGGCCGUGGGGCAAGUCAGUUCAUUUGCUCCUGACUAUGCCAAAGCCAAAAUAUCAGCAGCCCACAUCAUCAUGAUCAUUGAAAAAACCCCUUUGAUUGACAGCUACAGCACGGAAGGCCUAACGCCGAACACAUUGGAAGGAAAUGUCACAUUUGGUGAAGUUGUAUUCAACUAUCCCACCCGACCGGACAUCCCAGUGCUUCAGGGACUGAGCCUGGAAGUGAAGAAGGGCCAGACGCUGGCUCUGGUGGGCAGCAGUGGCUGUGGGAAGAGCACAGUGGUCCAGCUCCUGGAGCGGUUCUACGACCCCUUGGCAGGGAAAGUGCUGCUUGAUGGCAAAGAAAUAAAGCGACUGAAUGUUCAGUGGCUCCGAGCACACCUGGGCAUCGUGUCCCAGGAGCCCAUCCUGUUUGACUGCAGCAUUGCUGAGAACAUUGCCUAUGGAGACAACAGCCGGGUGGUGUCACAGGAAGAGAUCGUGAGGGCAGCCAAGGAGGCCAACAUACAUGCCUUCAUUGAGUCACUGCCUAAUAAAUAUAGCACUAGAGUAGGAGACAAAGGAACUCAGCUCUCUGGUGGCCAGAAACAACGCAUUGCCAUAGCUCGUGCCCUUGUUAGACAGCCUCAUAUUUUGCUUUUGGAUGAAGCCACAUCAGCUCUGGAUACAGAAAGUGAAAAGGUUGUCCAAGAAGCCCUGGACAAAGCCAGAGAAGGCCGCACCUGCAUUGUGAUUGCUCACCGCCUGUCCACCAUCCAGAAUGCAGACUUAAUAGUGGUGUUUCAGAAUGGCAGAGUCAAGGAGCAUGGCACGCAUCAGCAGCUGCUGGCACAGAAAGGCAUCUAUUUUUCAAUGGUCAGUGUCCAGGCUGGAACAAAGCGCCAGUGAACUCUGACUGUAUGAGACGUUAAAUACUUUUUAAUAUUUGUUUAGAUAUUGCAUUUAUUCAAAGUUAAAAGCAAACACUUACAGAAUUAUGAAGAGGUAUCUGUUUAACAUUUCCUCAAUCAAGUUCAGAGUCUUCAGAGACUUCGUAAUUAAAGGAACAGAGUGAGAGACAUCAUCAAGUGGAGAGAAAUCAUAGUUUAAACUGCUUUAUAAAUUUUAUAACAGAAUUAAAGUAGAUUUUAAAAGAUAAAAUGUGUAAUUUUGUUUAUAUUUUCCCAUUUGUACUGUAACUGACUGCCUUGCUUAAAGAUUAUAGAAGUAGCAAAAAGUAUUGAAAUGUUUGCAUAAAGUGUCUAUAAUAAAACUAAAGUUUCAUAUGACCGGA